GUCAGCGUGUCCGAGUGGUUAAGGAGUAGCACUCGAAAUGCUAUGGUGUCUCGCCGCACAGGUUCGAAUCCUGUCGCUGACG
Molecule: transfer RNA, 82 nt
Organism: Saitoella complicata NRRL Y-17804
Lineage: Eukaryota; Fungi; Ascomycota; Saitoellomycetes; Saitoellales; Saitoellaceae
Rfam family: tRNA
About the family: Transfer RNA (tRNA) molecules are approximately 80 nucleotides in length. Their secondary structure includes four short double-helical elements and three loops (D, anti-codon, and T loops). Further hydrogen bonds mediate the characteristic L-shaped molecular structure. tRNAs have two regions of fundamental functional importance: the anti-codon, which is responsible for specific mRNA codon recognition, and the 3' end, to which the tRNAs corresponding amino acid is attached (by aminoacyl-tRNA synthetases). tRNAs cope with the degeneracy of the genetic code in two manners: having more than one tRNA (with a specific anti-codon) for a particular amino acid; and 'wobble' base-pairing, i.e. permitting non-standard base-pairing at the 3rd anti-codon position.
Source: Rfam